AACGAACGCUGGCGGCAGGCCUAACACAUGCAAGUCGAGCGAGGACUUCGGUCCUAGCGGCGGACGGGUGAGUAACGCGUGGGAACGUGCCCUUUGCUUCGGAAUAGCCCUGGGAAACUGGGAGUAAUACCGGAUGAGCCCUUUGGGGGAAAGAUUUAUCGGCGAAGGAUCGGCCCGCGUUGGAUUAGGUAGUUGGUGGGGUAAUGGCCUACCAAGCCGACGAUCCAUAGCUGGUUUGAGAGGAUGAUCAGCCACACUGGGACUGAGACACGGCCCAGACUCCGACGGGAGGCAGCAGUGGGGAAUCUGAGACAAUGGGGGAAACCCUGAGCUAGCCAUGCCGCGUGAGCGAUGAAGGCCUUAGGGUUGUAAAGCUCUUUCAGCUGGGAAGAUAAUGACGGUACCAGCAGAAGAAGCCCCGGCUAACUCCGG
RNAcentral lists this ribosomal RNA (432 nucleotides) under uncultured bacterium. Its description in RNAcentral is "partial 16S ribosomal RNA". It matches the Rfam family "Bacterial small subunit ribosomal RNA", at positions 29 to 506 of the family's 1533-position model. The record is from RNAcentral.